Molecule: long non-coding RNA, 1484 nt
Filed under: Sarcophilus harrisii (Tasmanian devil)
Lineage: Eukaryota; Metazoa; Chordata; Mammalia; Dasyuromorphia; Dasyuridae
Description: lncRNA (ENSSHAG00000026054.1)
Source: RNAcentral
CUGGAGGCAGUGGGCCACAGUGGACAGAAACCUGAAUUGGCUUCAGAGAAUCUAGCUGUGAAUCCCAAUUCAUGCAAUUAGAAUUCUCAGCAUCCUGCCUGCCAGUGUUUUAACUUCACUGCACAAAGGACCUGUGUUUGAAUCCUGACUGUUAUUUACUUCCUGUGUGGCUUUGAACACAUUGGUACCUGCCUCAAGGGCCACAGAUUUCUCACAGGUGUGUUCUAUAAAAAAAGCAAGAAAUAAGAAAAUGAGAAAAAUCAUGUUUCAAUCUGCACUCAGAAUCCAUCAGUUCUCUCUCUGGAGGAGGAAAGCAUUUUUCAUGGAAUCUGUGGAGUGAAGGAAGAUGGGUGCCUGUUCCCAUGCUUUGGACAUAUUCUCACCAACAUUGCCAAACACCUUCCACGAGGACAGAAUGACAUCAAGGAAGUUUCUGAAGAUCACCUGGCAAGAUAAGAUCCAGGACAUUGAGCACCUUUCUCCAGCUGAACUGCCAAGCAUUCUGACUUUCUGCAGAGAAUGCAGUCAUAUGGGCUGAUCAUGUUCAGAUGCCAAAAGUACGCUUUCCUAAAAGACUAUUUUAUGGAGAUCUUACACAAGGGAGGUGCUCACCCAGAGGUAAGAAGAAGCAAUACAAGAUACUCUCAAGGUCUCUCUGAAGAAUGUCGGGGCAUGGGAGAUACUGGUACAAGACUUCUUAGCAAAGAAGCUGAUCUGCUACAUGAGCAAAGCUGAAUUACAAUAGCUCAAAAGAAACAUGAGAUGCAUAAAUUUAGAUAUCUCCACACCAAAUGUUCAUAUGGACCGUGUGCCCUACUGGUGGUAGAGCCUUCCGAGCUCAUAGUGGCUUAAUCAGUCAUUGUCAGACACACUAUAACUUGACUCUGACAUAGUAAUCUCAUUUUGGUUCUCUUCAGACAAGACAACACCCAACCAACUGCGUGCCUGGCAUUGCAUUAGGUAGUGGGGGGACAGAGAUAGAAUAAUCCUUGUAUUUGAGAGGCUUAUGUUCUACUGGGGAAAAUUAUAUGUAUACACACAAUUAUAUGAAAAUAUAUUCAACUGAUUGUUCUAACAGAAUUGAUGAGCAGGUUGAUUUCAGAAAAGCCUAGAAAGACUUACAUGAACUUAUGUUGAGUGAACCAAGAGAACAUUGCACACAAUAACAAGAUUAUGUGAUAAUCAACUAUGAUGAACAUGACUCUUUUCAACAAUGAGGUAAUUCAAGGCAAUUCCAAUAGACUUAGGAUGAAAAAUGCCAUCUGCAUCCAGAGAAAGAAUUAUGGAGACUGAAUGUAGAUCAAAGUAUAGUAUUUUCACCUUUUGUUGUUGUUAUUAUUAUUUGUUUGUUUUUUUCUUUCUCAUGGUUCUUUGCCUUUUGAUCUGAUUUUUCUUGUAUAGCAUGAUAAAUAUGGAAAUAUGUUUAGAAGGACUGCACAUGUUUAACCUAUAAAGGAUUGCUUGCUGUUGUGGAGAGGGAUGGG